This 369-nucleotide ribosomal RNA is filed under the name uncultured phototrophic eukaryote. RNAcentral describes it as "SSU rRNA". It matches the Rfam family "Bacterial small subunit ribosomal RNA", at positions 524 to 896 of the family's 1533-position model. The record is from RNAcentral.
GACGGAGGAUGCAAGUGUUAUCCGGAAUUAUUGGGCGUAAAGCGUCUGUAGGUUGUCUAGCAAGUCUAUUGUUAAAGGUUAAAGCUCAACUUUAAAACUGCGGUAGAAACUGCUAGACUUGAGUAUAGUCGAAGUAGAGGGAAUUUCCAGUGAAGCGGUGAAAUGCGUAGAUAUUGGAAGGAACACCAAUGGCGAAAGCACUCUACUAGGCUUUUACUGACACUCAGAGACGAAAGCUAGGGUAGCAAAUGGGAUUAGAUACCCCAGUAGUCCUAGCCGUAAACGAUGGAUACUAAACAUUGCGUGCUCGCCGUGGUGUUAUAGCUAACGCGUUAAGUAUCCCGCCUGGGGAGUAUGCUCGCAAGGGUG